RNAcentral lists this long non-coding RNA (1080 nucleotides) under Brassica rapa (field mustard). Its description in RNAcentral is "long non-coding RNA (BRAP_LNC006073)". The record is from RNAcentral. Lineage: Eukaryota; Viridiplantae; Streptophyta; Magnoliopsida; Brassicales; Brassicaceae.
CAAAAUCUCAAAUUUUCACCUGAACUUUGUGUUUCCAAAUUCUUUUGGCCUAUGCCUAAGUUCCCUCCUUUUAAGGGAUUUGAUCAUCCUUUCCCUUUACCUCCACCUUUGGAGCUUCCACCGUUUCCUAAACCAUGCCCACCACCUCCGGUUCCGGUGUACGAGCCACCCCCAAAGGUGGAACUUCCACCACCUGUCCCGGUUCACGAGCCACCCCCAAAGGUAGAGGUUCCACCACCCGUCCCGGUUCACGACCCACCGCCAAAGGUGGAGCACCCACCUCCGGUUCCGGUUUACAAGCCACCUCCAAAGGUAGAGCACCCACCUCCAGUUCCGGUUUACAAGCCGCCUCCAAAGGUAGAGCACCCACCUCCGGUUCCGGUUUACAAGCCACCUCCAAAGGUAGAGCACCCACCUCCGGUUCCAGUACACAAGCCACCAACAAUCCCUAAGAAGCCAUGCCCGCCUAAGUCGCCGAAGAUUGAGCUUCCACCGCCAGUGCCAGUUCACAAACCACCGACUAAGAAGCCUUGUCCGCCCAUGCCACCAAAGAAAGUUGAUCCGCCACCGGUUCCAGUCCACAAGCCGCCGCCGAAAAUAGUCCUUCCACCGCCGGUACCAAUCCACAAGCCGCCAAAGAAGCCGUGCCCGCCUAAACCGCCAAAGGUCGAGCUUCCACCACCAGUACCGGUCUACAAGCCACCACCGAAGAUAGAGCAUCCACCAAUCUAUGUGCCACCGGUGAUCCCGAAGAAGCCGUGCCCUCCCAAAGCGCCGAAGAUCGAUCCACCACCGGUUCCUGUCUACAAGCCGCCACCGAAGAUAGAGCAUCCACCAAUCUACGUGCCACCAGUGAUCCCAAAGAAGCCGUGUCCUCCGCCGGUGCCAAUCUACGUGCCACCGGUGGUGAUCCCGAAGAAGCCAUGUCCACCACUUCCACCACUUCCAAAGUUUCCUCCUCUUCCUCCUAAAUACAUUCACCACCCCAAGUUCGGCAAAUGGCCUCCGUUGCCGACUCACCCUUGAGAGUUUAAUACAUAUACUUGUAUGUAAUCAACGUGUUGCUUUUUAAAUAUUUUU